Molecule: ribosomal RNA, 393 nt
Filed under: uncultured bacterium
Lineage: Bacteria
Description: partial 16S ribosomal RNA
Rfam family: Bacterial small subunit ribosomal RNA
Source: RNAcentral
AUACGGAGGAUCCGAGCGUUAUCCGGAUUUAUUGGGUUUAAAGGGAGCGUAGGUGGGAUAUUAAGUCAGCUGUGAAAGUUUGGGGCUCAACCUUAAAAUUGCAGUUGAUACUGGUUUCCUUGAGUACGGUAUAGGUGGGCGGAAUUCGUGGUGUAGCGGUGAAAUGCUUAGAUAUCACGAAGAACUCCGAUUGCUAAGGCAGCUUGCUGGACUGUAACUGACGCUGAUGCUCGAAAGUGUGAGUAGCAAACAGGAUUAGAUACCCUGGUAGUCCACACAGUAAACGAUGAAUACUCGCUGUUUGCGAUAUACAGUAAGCGGCCAAGCGAAAGCGUUAAGUAUUCCACCUGGGAAGUACGCCGGCAACGGUGAAACUCAAAGGAAUUGACGGGG